This is a long non-coding RNA of Xenia sp. Carnegie-2017, 2637 nucleotides long. RefSeq lists it as uncharacterized. The record is from RefSeq and is a predicted model, not a curated record. The transcript is spliced from 3 exons. NCBI's taxonomy places the organism in Eukaryota, Metazoa, Cnidaria, Anthozoa, Malacalcyonacea, Xeniidae.
UUUUGCUAUCAGUUGAGUAUUUGUGAGAAGAAGAGUUAAGAACGCAUCACACGACGAACGCGAGAGUCGUUUUUUUUAUAACAUCCAAAACCUAUUGUAAGAAGGCUAGCAGACGACAAAGAAGUUAGUCUUGGAGACAGGUGGAACCCGGCGUACAUUUCCUUACAUAAAAUCAAUUUCUGAGGUCACGCUAUGGUACCUGUACAAUAUGUUUAUAGUUACGUUGUUUUGAUAUGUUUGUUGAAUAUAUAUCCAGUGCCAGUGGUCAAAGCUAGCGACAAUUCUAUCAAAAUGUGCAAUUCGACUAAAAUAGAUCAAAUAUAUUGCACAAGGAAUUCCUCCGUUUCGCAAAAUAAUACAAAAAAAAGUUUCUCAAUUCCUCAAGAAAGAUUAAUAACAACAAUGGUGAUCUCCACAGUUGGUGUCCUAACAAAUGGUCUUCUUAUUGUUGUCAUUGUGAAGGAUCCUUUAAGCAAACUAAGACGAGGACCGUGGAUUACUAUCUUAAGCUUAUCUAUAGCUGACAUCACUGCAUCUUUGUCCCAAUUCAUGAUUGUUGGAUUGGGUAGAUUGUUCGAGGUCAAACCAUCAGAAGCCUUCAUUUAUUCUGUCCUUUUCUUUUGAAUGUUUGGGGCUGCGGGCUCAUUUUUUUCACUUGACAUCACUCACAUGGCAAACUUACAUGAUUGCAAAGUAUCCCAAAUACAGACAACAAAUGUUAUCUACGAAGAAAAUUUACAUAUUAUGCGCCACAGUUUGGUUGAUUGCCAUUUGCAUGGCAUUUGGUGAACUCACACUAAUUUACAGCAAGAAAAAUGAACAGGUUAUGUACACCUUUAUCACAGUAUAUGCUGUCUUGGAAAUCGCUGUUUUACAUCAGAUCAUAUUGAAGUGUUUCAUACUUAAGGUUGUAUUGCAAAGUCAACAAGACACUAAAGUAAAUGCUAACCAGUACAACACUAAACACUUUGAAAUUGUAAAGGCAAUCAUUGUGCUGAAUGUCUUAUUACUGGUAACUGCAUUUCCUUAUUUUGUCGCCAAACAAGUGGAGUUUAUUCAAAGGCUUGGAAAAAUACAAAGUGAUUUGGCUUGGCGCUUUUCUUACUACUACGAACCAGUUGCCAUGGUGAAUUUCGCUGUCAAUCCAAUUGUGUAUGCACUGAGGCUUCCAGUUUAUCGAAACAGUAUGAAGGCGUUGUUUAAAAAGACUAGAAUUGUUUCCAUUCAAAAACCAGGGCAUUUAAUCUUUUCACUUCGUUUCCUUUGUUUUAUAAAUAUUUUAAAGGCGUCGCUCAGUUUGGACUAUUCAAGUGGAAAAAGAUGUUUGAAUGUUAAAACCUAAAAUAUACAGUGUAUGAACGAAGAGUGUUUGAUUGUUGUCUUCAACCUAUUUUUUAUUACUUUUUGCUUUUCCAUCUAAAAUUCAACGACGAACAAACCCAUGUAUACAUGUUUGACUUUGAAAAACGGAAUUAUUUUUGUCAUGCCAUUGAAGCUAUUGUACUCUGGUAUAUAGACUUUGUCUUACGGUCACCUUUCAUAGUUCUAUAAAACAUAACUGUAUUUUCUAGUUUUUUCUUUUUCCUUUCAAAUCUGCAUAUCAUUUUUAUUGUAUGAUUCAAUUAUGACAGAUAAAUUAAUGUGAAAGUCCAUAACAUGCGUGGUUAUUUUAUUGGUUAAUAUUGCCUGGUAUGACGACAUUGUAAUUUUCAAAUAAACUUUUUAUGAAAGUUUUGUUGACGUCAUGCUUGAUAUUUGAAGCUACGAUAAUAAUUUUCGUUAAAACACCACAUAUUAAAAUAUGUAUUGCAAGCCUUUUUCGUCAACGUAUAUUUCUAAAAGUGAUUUAUAUGUUUGCUCUUGUUUAGGCUACAUGUAUACAUGGCCACAAUUUGUGGCGGUUUAAAUUAUAUUUUAUGCAUGUAUAUUGGAUGUGUUUUAAUCCAAUCACACAACCUGCUGACAAACAUAAAACCCAUAUACCACCCCUCACCCCCAUUCUUUUUAUUGUCACUUACCCAUGUCUCGACGCUGUGUCUUGUCCUGUUUCAGAGUCAAGUAAACGUCGACCGAAACAGAAACGAAAGCCCGGUCGCAAUCCCAGAGUUCCAUUCACUCCCAAACAGCUGACGACCCUGGAAAACAAGUUUGAAACAAUGAAGUACUUGACAAGUGAUGAAGUUCGUAGUUUGUGUUUGGAACUGACGUUACCGGAAAACAAAAUCAAAAUAUGGUUUCAAAAUCGACGAGCAAGAGAAAAAGAAAAAGUUCACAAAGCAGCGAUGAAUAUGUUGACGUAAUGACAAUUGACGGGGAGAACAGUUAGCUAUGUAUGACGACACAUGCACUGAAAAUUAGUUAUAGUUUUUAUAGAGGUCUAUAGUUAGAAAAUCAGUUAUGCAAUCAUAGAGUUUGCAUUGUAGUAAUCUUGCACAGCGUACGUUCAACAGGACCUUUAUUUAUUGCUGUCAAUAUUCAAUAAUGAGCAUAGGAACUUCAUCGAUGACGUCAUUCGAGCAUUUCCGCUUACAAAGAGAAAACACUUUGAAUGCAAAGUUUCAUAAUGGAACACAUCGUAAAAACCUCACGUUGUAACAUAGGAUAGAAAAUAAAACAUACUUUUACAUUUCAUCAUCA